CUUUUUACAUAUAUUUUCCUUACUGCCUUACUCAGUGGGUAAAUUAGAGGGUUGAAGGAGAGUUGAAUAGUCCACGAGACUGCCCCCUUUGAGGUUUCACAAAUACCAAACAGUACCCAGUGAGAACAGCACAUCCACUGGGACUAGGCUUGAGGCCUAAAGGCAAGUAUGAAAUGCAAAUGCUGUUUCACUCCCUCUCCCAACCCUCAACAAUAAGGAAAAGGAGGAGCCUAGUGAAGGCCAAUGCUAGGUUUACAAACUUACCCAGAAGCCUCUGCAAAGCUUCACAGGCUCCUCAGGUGAAAAUACCAGGAAUCAAUGGUGACUACGGCCAAACACUGAUUUGCCAUUCUGUUCCCUUUAAGAAGUAACAGUGCUGCAAGGAAGUCCAAGUCAGAAAGCCAACAGAAGGUGAUUUCCACAACUUUGAACUGGUUGUUAUAAGUAUCAGCAAGAUCGUGUCCUUUUCAGAAAUAACAGUCCAAUCAACAGAAGGUUAAUAAAGGCUUUCAUUCCACACGUACAC
Non-coding RNA from Saimiri boliviensis boliviensis (Bolivian squirrel monkey), 526 nucleotides. The record is from RefSeq and is a predicted model, not a curated record. NCBI's taxonomy places the organism in Eukaryota, Metazoa, Chordata, Mammalia, Primates, Cebidae.